Molecule: unclassified non-coding RNA, 1467 nt
Filed under: Octopus sinensis (East Asian common octopus)
Lineage: Eukaryota; Metazoa; Mollusca; Cephalopoda; Octopoda; Octopodidae
Description: zinc finger protein OZF-like, transcript variant X5
Source: RNAcentral
AGCUUUUUAAAGGCCAAAAUGGAAAUAUUGUACAGAACAGAUAUAUAAGAUUGUUUCUAUGAAUCUGUGGUGGAAUUCCUCUGAUAUAUUUACUCUGAAAUGUGUUAUUAGCAAACCUUCUGGACAUCACUGGCUGGAGUGUCCACAAGAUGAGUCUGUUUGCAAAUUAUACUUGGAUAAAUUUUCAAAUGAGAUUUGGGACAAAGGUGAUAAUGGACAGAAAUACAGCAGUUGAAAUAUUUCUAAACAAAAGACUAUAGAAUCAAAAAGGUUAAAAAAGAUUAUAUAUUGUGAUUUUUGAAGAAAUAAAAUGGAAAAGAGUGAGAAACUAAAGGAACAGAUUUUUCCAGAAGAUAACAAAAAAGAGAGGCGAAAAUUAUCACGUGACUGUGAUGUCUGUAAACAGUCCUCUCAAAAGGGUCACUUGAAUAGGCACAAAUGUAUUCAUACAGGGGAGAAACCAUUUCACUGUGACAUCUGUGGUAAAUCAUUCUCUAAAAAAAUUAACUUGACUACACAUCAACGUGUUCAUACAGGGGAGAAACCAUUUCACUGUGACAUCUGUGGUAAAUCAUUCUCUAAAAAAAUUAACUUGACUACACACCAACGUAUUCAUACAGGAGAGAAGCCAUUUCACUGUGACAUCUGUGGUAAAUCAUUCCCUCAAAGUAAUACCUUGACUACACACAAACGUAUUCAUACAGGAGAGAAGCCUUUUCACUGUGAUGUCUGUGGUACAUCAUUCUGUGACCAAAGUGCUUUAAAUUCUCACAUACGUGUUCAUACAGGGGAAAAGCCAUUUCACUGUGACAUCUGUGGUAAAUCAUUCUCUCAAAAAGACAGCUUGACUACACACAAACGUAUUCAUACUGGAGAGAAGCCAUAUCACUGUGAUGUCUGUGGUACAUCAUUCUCUGACCGAAGUGCUUUAAAUUCUCACAUAACUGUUCAUACAGGGGAGAAGCCAUUUGACUGUGACACUUGUGGGAAAUCCUUCUCUAAAAAAAUUAACUUGACUACACACCAACGUGUUCAUACAGGGGAGAAGCCAUUUCGCUGUGACAUCUGUGAUAAAUCAUUCUCUAAAAAAAUUAACUUCGCUACACACCAACGUAUUCAUACAGGGGAGAAGCCAUUUCACUGUGACAUCUGUGGUAAAUCAUUUCCUCAAAGUAAUAACUUGACUACACACAAACGUAUUCAUACAGGAGAGAAGCCAUAUCACUGUGAUGUCUGUGGCAAGUCUUUCUCUGACCAAAGUGCUUUAAAUUCUCACAUACGUAUUCAUACAGGAGAGAAGCCAUAUCACUGUGAUAUCUGUAGUAAAUCAUUCUCUCAUCGAAAUGCCUUAAAUUCUCACAAACGUGUUCAUACAGGAUAGAAGCCAUAUCGGUGUAAUUUCUGUAGUAAAUCAUUCUGUCAAAGUAGUGCUUUAACUUCUCAUAAACAUAUUCAUACAGGAGAGAA